AUUGAACGCUGGCGGCAUGCCUUACACAUGCAAGUCGAACGGUAACAGGGAGCUUGCUCCGCUGACGAGUGGCGAACGGGUGAGUAAUGUAUCGGAACGUACCAUUCAGUGGGGGAUAACGUAGCGAAAGUUACGCUAAUACCGCAUAUUCUGUGAGCAGGAAAGCAGGGGAUCGCAAGACCUUGCGCUGAUUGAGCGGCCGAUAUCAGAUUAGCUAGUUGGUGAGGUAAAGGCUCACCAAGGCGACGAUCUGUAGCGGGUCUGAGAGGAUGAUCCGCCACACUGGAACUGAGACACGGUCCAGACUCCUACGGGAGGCAGCAGUGGGGAAUUUUGGACAAUGGGGGCAACCCUGAUCCAGCCAUGCCGCGUGAGUGAAGAAGGCCUUCGGUUGUAAGACUCUUUCGGUCCGGGAAAAUACGCAUCAGUUAAUACCUGUGUGGAUGAUGGUACCGGAUAAGAAGACACCGGCUAACUACGUGCC
Molecule: ribosomal RNA, 484 nt
Filed under: uncultured bacterium
Lineage: Bacteria
Description: bacterial SSU rRNA
Rfam family: Bacterial small subunit ribosomal RNA
Source: RNAcentral